This 154-nucleotide small nuclear RNA is filed under the name Mus pahari (shrew mouse). RNAcentral describes it as "predicted gene, 22350 (MGP_PahariEiJ_G0033798.1)". It matches the Rfam family "U1 spliceosomal RNA". From Rfam's summary of the family: U1 is a small nuclear RNA (snRNA) component of the spliceosome (involved in pre-mRNA splicing). Lineage: Eukaryota; Metazoa; Chordata; Mammalia; Rodentia; Muridae. The record is from RNAcentral.
AUACUCACCUGUUGGAGGAGUCCCCUGACCAUGAAGAUAGUUUUCCCAGCACGAGGCUUAUCCUUUGCAUACUGGUCGUGCUGACACUUUCAGUCUACCCCAAAUAUGGGAAACUUGGCCGCAUUUGGUAGUGAGGGACUCUGUGCUUUCACCC